RNAcentral lists this ribosomal RNA (101 nucleotides) under uncultured bacterium. Its description in RNAcentral is "partial 16S ribosomal RNA". The record is from RNAcentral.
CCUUCGGGUUGUAAAGCUCUUUCGCUAGGGAACAAGAAAGUCCGACGAAUAAUCGGAUGAUUUGAUGGUACUUGGUAAAGAAGCACCGGCUAACUCCGUGC